Molecule: long non-coding RNA, 2145 nt
Organism: Dermochelys coriacea (leatherback sea turtle)
Lineage: Eukaryota; Metazoa; Chordata; Testudines; Dermochelyidae
Exons: 4
Source: RefSeq, a predicted model, not a curated record
AAUUUUUUAGAAACAAAUCCUUCAUCCUGGCACGGGUUAGACUAGAUGACCAUUUCAGUUCCUUCUUAUGCUAUGAUUCUAUGAUUUUAAAUCACAUUGUUUUUAACCAAUUUCCUGAUAUUUUUGGGCCUGUCUCCUGAUUUUUGAAAACUUGGAUAUGGCAGUGCGGGAAAGUCUGUUUACCAUUCCACAAGAAUAUAUGAAUGUUAAAGGCUGUUUUCCCUACCAGCUGAGAGGGAGUUACCCCAGGUCAGCUAGAGGCACCUGAUCCUAAUUAAGGGCCUUUUAAAACCCCUCUUCUGAGUAGAGGAAAGGGGAAGAGAGAAACAAGUUGCUGCCAGGCUAGUGGCAGUAGGGAAAAAAGCUUCUCCAGGGUGAGGGGCUGUGUUCCUACCCAUAGGGGAAACAGCCAAACCUGAGUGCCUGCUAGGUAAGGACUGAGAGCCCAGGGAAAACCAACAGGGCAACACCCUGCACCAGCGAGGAGGCAGCAAAAGAUUCAAUAAAACUUUCAAAGAACAGACCUGAGCAGAGAACUCCAGCAUCUUCACAAUGCCCACAGUUAUGCCGACCCCAUCCACGAGAGGAACAGUCCUGAAGACAGGAUUCGCUUCCAGAGCAACCCACAUCAUCCAGCCAGAUCUGCCCUGAUCCUUCCCCAUAAUGAGCUGAGCCAGUUGCAUUGAGGGCGUGUCCACAUCCCAACUCUUGGCAAACGACAUUGGCAUCUGAUGUGUCCCAAGAAUCAUCACAGACUGUCCCCCAGGCUCCACUCUAAUCAGCUUCAAUAGAGAAUGAACAGACCUGAGCAGAGAACUCCAGCAUCUCCACCGUGCCCACAGUUAUGCUGACCCCAUCCACUGGAGGAACAGUCCCGAAGAAAGGAUUCACUUCCAGAGCAAUUCACAUCAUCUAGCCAGAUCUGCCCUGACCCUUCCCCAUAAUGAGCUGAGGCAGGUGCAUUGAUGGCUAGUCCACAUCUCAAUUCUUUGCAAACAACAUUGGCAUCUGAUGUGUCCCAGGAAUCAUCACAGACUGUCCCCCAGGUGCCAUUGUAAUAAAUCUCCACUCUCCCAGAGCAUGGAUCUAUUCCAUUCACCAGUCUCAUCUGUUUGCUUCCUACAGAAAGGAAUUUCAGAUGUUAAUGUCAUUCCUAUUGAAGAAGAAGAUGUUUGUAAGAUUUCAGGAAACACCUGGGCAAAUGAACAUGACAUUCUCAGCAAUUUACAACAGUGAAUAUCUUCUGUGGAGCUAUUGCGGUGGCUGGUGGGUUUCGUCUCCUACAUUCCUUGCAUUUCAGAACUGCAUAGGCCCAUUCCACAUUCAAUCUUAGCAAUGAUUAGAAGCAGGGUUGUAUAUUUUUUUCAGAAUUCAUGAUAUUUAGGUUUUUUUCACUCUCACCAGCUGGCUAUUGAGCAAAAGUCCUCUACAUAUGUUACUCUUUUGUCCUUUUAUUGACCUAAAAUGGGGUCAAAGCCCAUUGAACUCAAUGGAAGGAAUCACGCUGAUUUCAACAGGUCCCACAUAAUGAAUAUGUUUGAGUAUGUUUUUAAAAUUGUGUUUAGUUGCUAGUUAAAGAUUAUUAAAUGGUUCAAAUCAAUUUUGCAUGAAAACAGAUUUCACUUUUCAUGAUUCCUAAUUUUUAAAAAACAAUUAAAAUUCUAUUCUGAUUCUGAAGUUCUGAUUUUAUUUUUUAACUAAAAUUAUGACAAGAAAUUUUUGUCAUAACAAAGUCGUUAUAAGCUUUAUCUCUAUCUCUACGCUACAGAUACCUGCACACUGUACUGGCAUGACUAGUGUCAUGCAGAUUAUUAUCCAGAAUUCUACUUCACACCAUGCAAGAAAAUCUCCAUGCUCCAAGAACACUGAUUUUCUACAUUCAGCACUCUAUGCAAAUCAGAAUGAUCUUUGCUCUGUAGUCAUGGGAAAUUCAGUGAAUAACAUUAAUAGCCAUAUGUAUUACCUACAAGCACUUGUUAAACAAACAAACAUUGGUAGGUUACAGAGUCAAACACCUGAAAGUUGGGAAAUGCCUGGUUUAUGGUUGCCUGUUCCACCUUAUUUUUCUCCCUUAUGCAACCAGUAUGUGCACUGAAUGAGGCAGGGGUCUUGUGGAAAUUAAAGACAGUUUUAUAAUGCAUACAU